CGUUUUUCUAUCCGUUCAUUCGUCAUCAUCACAUCCCCCUUCUACCUUUUGCGCGCCAUUUUUCGAUACGAUCGUGAAGUUGUCGUUAUAAAAUAAUAUGCAAAUUAUUAAUAAUUGUGUGAAACUUAAUGCCAAGUUUAAAGAAGAAAUCAAACAAAUUAUGAGAUUGAAUUGGAAAUGAAUAUGAGAGUGAAAAUCCCUCGACAUGGAAUGACAUUUUUGCAAAGCAUCAGGAACACCCUCGUUUCCGGCAAUUACUGCAAUGCGAUAAAGAUAGAAGGAUUGAUCGUGAAAGAUUAAACGAGCGCCACUGUAGUAAUGGAGAAGACUCCGUUUAACAAGAGCCUUGAACCACGUCGUUAUUUAACGCAAAUGAUCGAUGAUUAUUAUAAGAUCCUUUUAUAUGUAAGAAAAGAGGAAGAGAAAGAAAGGCCGAUAUUUUUAUUAUCGUAGAUUUUCAAUAUACAACGACCGCAAUGGGAUUCGUUCCCAGCAAUACCUUGAUCCAAUUCCGUUCUUAAGGCGGUGAGCUGUUGACGAACGUCAAUGAAAAGCCAUAUUAAGCUAGCAGUAGCUAAGACAGAAGCGCAUGCCAAAAAGGCACUACAGGCCUUAAGAAAUCCCGGACAAGUUUGGCUCCUUCUUCCUCUGCAUUUGCGGCUGCUUCUUGUAGACGUGUUCCAAUAUUCUGAACGUUCGUCACUGCUAUCCGUCAAUAAUUCCUACAAAAUAAAUCAUGAUUUUUAAAAAAGGCAAUAUCAAAGUAAUUCUAACGUAAUG
Molecule: long non-coding RNA, 780 nt
Organism: Vespa velutina
Lineage: Eukaryota; Metazoa; Arthropoda; Insecta; Hymenoptera; Vespidae
Exons: 3
Source: RefSeq, a predicted model, not a curated record